GACGAACGCUGGCGGCGUGCCUAAUACAUGCAAGUCGAGCGAAGUUUUUCUGGUGCUUGCACCGGAAAAACUUAGCGGCGAACGGGUGAGUAACACGUAAAGAACCUGCCUCAUAGACUGGGACAACUAUUGGAAACGAUAGCUAAUACCGGAUAACAGCAUUAACUGCAUGGUUGAUGUUUAAAAGUUGGUUUUGCUAACACUAUGAGAUGGCUUUGCGGUGCAUUAGCUAGUUGGUGGGGUAAAGGCCUACCAAGGCGACGAUGCAUAGCCGACCUGAGAGGGUGAUCGGCCACACUGGGACUGAGACACGGCCCAGACUCCUACGGGAGGCAGCAGUAGGGAAUCUUCCGCAAUGGGCGAAAGCCUGACGGAGCAACGCCGCGUGAGUGAAGAAGGAUUUCGGUUCGUAAAGCUCUGUUGUUAGGGAAGAAGGAUUGUGUAGUAACUAUACACAGUAGAGACGGUACCUAACCAGAAAGUCACGGCUAACUACGUG
This 499-nucleotide ribosomal RNA is filed under the name uncultured bacterium. Its description in RNAcentral is "partial 16S ribosomal RNA". It matches the Rfam family "Bacterial small subunit ribosomal RNA", at positions 28 to 507 of the family's 1533-position model. The record is from RNAcentral.